This 774-nucleotide ribosomal RNA is filed under the name uncultured Neocallimastigales. RNAcentral describes it as "partial large subunit ribosomal RNA". It matches the Rfam family "Eukaryotic large subunit ribosomal RNA", at positions 24 to 647 of the family's 3401-position model. Lineage: Eukaryota; Fungi; Neocallimastigomycota; Neocallimastigomycetes; Neocallimastigales. The record is from RNAcentral.
UAUCUCUGUAGAGUCUGCAUAUCAAUAAGCGGAGGAAAAGAAACUAACAAGGAUUCCCUUAGUAACGGCGAGUGAAGCGGGAAGAGCUCAAAUUUGAAAUCUUCAAGGUUCUACCUUGACGAAUUGUAGUUUAAAGAAGUGUUUUCUGUUAGAUGAGUAGCAAAAGUUCCUUGGAAUGGGACAUCAUAGAGGGUGAGAAUCCCGUAUUUGGUUAUUCAUUCUAGCUUUGUGAUACACUUUCAAAGAGUCGGAUUGUUUGGGAAUGCAGUCCAAAAUGGGUGGUAAAUUUCAUCUAAAGCUAAAUAUUGGCGAGAGACCGAUAGCGAACAAGUACCGUGAGGGAAAGAUGAAAAGAACUUUGAAAAGAGAGUUAAACAGUACGUGAAAUUGUCAAAAGGGAAGCGUUUGACACCAGUGUUGUUUUUCCGAAAAUCAAUUACGAAUGGCUUGAUUUUGUGUUGUAUUGACCUUAUCAGCUUUCUGCACUUUUUUCGAGUCUUUCUUAAUGCACUUUUCGGUUAACAAGUCAACAUCAAUUUCUUUUGUUGUAAAAGAGUAUUCGGAAGGUGGCUUUCUUUUCGGAGAAAGUGUUUAUAGCCCUAUACUUCUACAAUCGGAGAGAUUGAGGUCUGCAGCGUAGAUCCUUCGGGGUUAGAUACACUUGUGCUAAGUUGUAGCUUUUCAUAGACAACUUGUUGACUAUGUUUAGUCAUGCGGCUUACUCGCUUGUGCUAUUUUACCUACGCUUAGGAUGUUGACGAGACUGUCGAUCUC